This 254-nucleotide ribosomal RNA is filed under the name uncultured bacterium. RNAcentral's name for it is "partial 16S ribosomal RNA". It matches the Rfam family "Bacterial small subunit ribosomal RNA", at positions 524 to 776 of the family's 1533-position model. The record is from RNAcentral.
UACAGAGGAGCCAAGCGUUGUCCGGAUUGACUGGGCGUAAAGAGCUCGUAGGCGGCUUGUCGCGUCGACUGUGAAAACCCGUGGCUCAACCAUGUGGUCUGCAGUCGAUACGGGCAGGCUAGAAUUCGGUAGGGGAGACUGGAAUUCCUGGUGUAGCGGUGAAAUGCGCAGAUAUCAGGAGGAACACCGGUGGCGAAGGCGGGUCUCUGGGCCGAUAUUGACGCUGAGGAGCGAAAGCGUGGGGAGCGAACAGG